UGACCACUCACGCCUAGCGUGGUGUUGGGGCACGCGGUUCCGCGGCCCUCAAAUCCAGUGGCGGCGCCGGUUGGCUCUAAGCGUAGUACAACUUCUCGCUUGAGGGUCCGCCCGGUGGCUCGCCAGAACCCCCCAACUUCUCAAGG
This 146-nucleotide unclassified non-coding RNA is filed under the name uncultured Phialocephala. RNAcentral's name for it is "sequence contains ITS2". Lineage: Eukaryota; Fungi; Ascomycota; Leotiomycetes; Helotiales. The record is from RNAcentral.